UGGCGGCAGGCUUAACACAUGCAAGUCGAGCGGGGAGAGGUGCUUCGGUACUGAUCCUAGCGGCGGACGGGUGAGUAAUGCUUAGGAAUCUGCCAUUUAGUGGGGGACAACAUUCCGAAAGGAAUGCUAAUACCGCAUACGUCCUACGGGAGAAAGCAGGGGGAUCUUCGGACCUUGCGCUAAAUGAUGAGCCUAAGUCGGAUUAGCUAGUUGGUGGGGUAAAGGCCUACCAAGGCGACGAUCUGUAGCGGGUCUGAGAGGAUGAUCCGCCACACUGGGACUGAGACACGGCCCCAGACUCCUACGGGAGGCAGCAGUGGGGAAUAUUGGACAAUGGGCGGAAGCCUGAUCCAGCCAUGCCGCGUGUGUGAAGAAGGCCUUUUGGUUGUAAAGCACUUUAAGCGAGGAGGAGGCUACCUGGAUUAAUACUCUAGGAUAGUGGACGUUACUCGCAGAAUAAGCACCGGCUAACUCUGUG
RNAcentral lists this ribosomal RNA (478 nucleotides) under uncultured bacterium. RNAcentral's name for it is "bacterial SSU rRNA". It matches the Rfam family "Bacterial small subunit ribosomal RNA", at positions 37 to 507 of the family's 1533-position model. The record is from RNAcentral.